Molecule: ribosomal RNA, 272 nt
Filed under: Deltaproteobacteria bacterium
Lineage: Bacteria; Pseudomonadati; Myxococcota; Myxococcia
Description: partial 23S ribosomal RNA
Rfam family: Bacterial large subunit ribosomal RNA
Source: RNAcentral
GAAAUUUAAGAAGGGCUGCUCCUAGUACGAGAGGGCCGGAGUGGACGGAUCAAUCGUGUACCUGUUGUCGCGCCAGCGGCACCGCAGGGUAGCGAAAUCCGGAAUAGAUAACCGCUGAAAGCAUCUAAGCGGGAAGCUAGCUUCAAGAUAAGAUUUCCCAGGGACUUCGGUCCCCUGAAGGCGUGUUGUAGACUACAACGUUGAUAGGCUGGAGGUGGAAGUGCAGCAAUGCAUGUAGCUGACCAGUACUAAUUCGCCGUGAGGCUUAAUUU